GAUGAACGCUAGCUACAGGCUUAACACAUGCAAGUCGAGGGGCAGCAUGGUCUUAGCUUGCUAAGGCCGAUGGCGACCGGCGCACGGGUGAGUAACACGUAUCCAACCUGCCGUCUACUCUUGGACAGCCUUCUGAAAGGAAGAUUAAUACAAGAUGGCAUCAUGAGUCCACAUGUUCACAUGAUUAAAGGUAUUCCGGUAGACGAUGGGGAUGCGUUCCAUUAGAUAGUAGGCGGGGUAACGGCCCACCUAGUCUUCGAUGGAUAGGGGUUCUGAGAGGAAGGUCCCCCACAUUGGAACUGAGACACGGUCCAAACUCCUACGGGAGGCAGCAGUGAGGAAUAUUGGUCAAUGGGCGAGAGCCUGAACCAGCCAAGUAGCGUGAAGGAUGACUGCCCUAUGGGUUGUAAACUUCUUUUAUAAAGGAAUAAAGUCGGGUAUGGAUACCCGUUUGCAUGUACUUUAUGAAUAAGGAUCGGCUAACUCCGUGCCAGCAGCCGCGGUAAUACGGAGGAUCCGAGCGUUAUCCGGAUUUAUUGGGUUUAAAGGGAGCGUAGAUGGAUGUUUAAGUCAGUUGUGAAAGUUUGCGGCUCAACCGUAAAAUUGCAGUUGAUACUGGAUAUCUUGAGUGCAGUUGAGGCAGGCGGAAUUCGUGGUGUAGCGGUGAAAUGCUUAGAUAUCACGAAGAACUCCGAUUGCGAAGGCAGCCUGCUAAGCUGCAACUGACAUUGAGGCUCGAAAGUGUGGGUAUCAAACAGGAUUAGAUACCCUGGUAGUCCACACGGUAAACGAUGAAUACUCGCUGUUUGCGAUAUACAGCAAGCGGCCAAGCGAAAGCGUUAAGUAUUCCACCUGGGGAGUACGCCGGCAACGGUGAAACUCAAAGGAAUUGACGGGGGCCCGCACAAGCGGAGGAACAUGUGGUUUAAUUCGAUGAUACGCGAGGAACCUUACCCGGGCUUAAAUUGCAGAUGAAUUACGGUGAAAGCCGUAAGCCGCAAGGCAUCUGUGAAGGUGCUGCAUGGUUGUCGUCAGCUCGUGCCGUGAGGUGUCGGCUUAAGUGCCAUAACGAGCGCAACCCUUGUUGUCAGUUACUAACAGGUUCCGCUGAGGACUCUGACAAGACUGCCAUCGUAAGAUGUGAGGAAGGUGGGGAUGACGUCAAAUCAGCACGGCCCUUACGUCCGGGGCUACACACGUGUUACAAUGGGGGGUACAGAGGGCCGCUACCACGCGAGUGGAUGCCAAUCCCAAAAACCUCUCUCAGUUCGGACUGGAGUCUGCAGCCCGACUCCACGAAGCUGGAUUCGCUAGUAAUCGCGCAUCAGCCACGGCGCGGUGAAUACGUUCCCGGGCCU
This 1358-nucleotide ribosomal RNA is filed under the name uncultured bacterium. Its description in RNAcentral is "bacterial SSU rRNA". It matches the Rfam family "Bacterial small subunit ribosomal RNA", at positions 28 to 1381 of the family's 1533-position model. The record is from RNAcentral.